Mus musculus (house mouse) is the source of this 1698-nucleotide long non-coding RNA. RefSeq annotates it as predicted gene, 51939. NCBI's taxonomy places the organism in Eukaryota, Metazoa, Chordata, Mammalia, Rodentia, Muridae. The transcript has 3 exons. The record is from RefSeq and is a predicted model, not a curated record.
GGGCGGCUGGCUGCUGAUUAAAUCAGAAACAAAGCACUACCACAUUGAUGGCUGUGCACACCAAUGCUGUUGAGCUGCAGAGAACAAUUAAUUGCCAUAUCAUAGGAUGUGUGCGUGAGGUCAGGAAGGCAGUUGGGAAAUGUAAAAAUGCAGCGAAAAGUGUGUGCUUGUGCUCAUUAGAAGCCUGCUUUCUAUAGGCCCCAAGACCUCAGUGGUGACAGAGGCCCAGUUACCUCCUGCAGCCAUCUCAACUGGGGUGGUCUGGCAUGCCGAUGAGCUACAGAUGGGUCACACACUGCCAACAAGUCAGGGAGCCUCUCGGCUUUGGCAGAUUCAUCCAUUCACUAGAAACCACAGUGCAAAAGAUGCUCGUCUUCUCUGUAGGUUGAAAUAUGAAGAAGAGCUGCCUCUUCAAGGAUGCUGCAGGAGCAUGCUAGCUGCCAAAGUGAUUGGUAUGACGUGCUGAUGCUGGGACAAAGAAUGAUGCUGACCUGUGAGCUUGCUGAGUGUCCUGACAAUGGUGAUGGGAAAGCUGUAUUGGACAUAUGUUCUUGACACACCUUUGCUUGCCUAUAUCCCAAACUGGACAAGCUGCCUUGCUUCAAGCUUUUAGACCUUGAGGGAUGGAGGACAUAGAGACUGUAGAGACUGACUUAGAAAAAUUAACCAAAAGGAAACGUUAUAAUGACUCUUCUCUUUCCUUUAAUGUGACCAGUUAUUCUGACUCAAUCAUGGGCUGGUCCAGAAAUCAAUCCAAUAUUGGAAAAAAGGAAAUGGCAGUCUUCAUUUGGAAGGCUGGUUCUGGGCAUUUUCAGAGACAUAUUUGGAAGCUAGUUGCAGUUCUUUAUGAAGUUACAUUUGCAGUGGAUAAAAUUGGACAGGGUCUGGAUUUCAAACAAGUAUUAGUGCAUGUGUUUAAGCUCCUAAUCUUUUAUUCCUUCAACAGGGAGGACGAUGUACAGCCCUCCAUGAAGAACAUAGUAAAGGAUUCUAUGGCUAACGUUUGAGAAGGACUAGCCAAAAGGACAGAAUUAGAGAUGGUUUGAAUUCUGAUUCUCCACUUCCCUGUGGCUUCUUUUCUUCUUUCUUUCCUUCUUUGUUCCUUCUUUCUUACCUUCCUUCCUUCCUUUCUUUUGUUGUUGUUGUUUUGUUUUUUUUCCCCCUGAGACAGGGUUUCUCUGUAUAGUCCUGGGUGUCCUGGAACUCACUUUUUAGACCAGGCUGGCCUCGAACUCAGAAAUCAGCCUGCCUCUGCCUCCCGAGUGCUGGGAUUAAAGGCAUGCACCACCACCGCCCGGCUUCCCCAUGGCUUACAACUUCAAUUUCUAUACUGCUUGGACCAUUAAUUAUAAUCUUGUUGCUUUUAACUUUUGAACAUUGUAUCUUAAAUAGAUUGGGGCUACCUUCACACAGGAUCACUUUCAGUAAGCUUAGUUAUUCACCAUGGCAGUUGUUCAUCGCUAUGAAGAAACACAUUAUGAGUGCAUAUUCAUAUGUCCUUCGUUGCUUUGGCCUGAAUGGAAAAGAGUGUGCUUUUGAAGGCCGGUAGUCAGGGGCAGCACCUGCAAUUUUCUACAGGAGUAGACUGCCUGCUGAGCUUGCUUUGCAACACAAUCGAGCGGAAACAAAGGAUGGGUCUGUGGGUUCUCCCUAUAUAAAUGCAGUACUAAAUAUUAAACUUUGAGCCUUGAUCAGAAA